RNAcentral lists this ribosomal RNA (262 nucleotides) under Glomus sp. Its description in RNAcentral is "partial small subunit ribosomal RNA". It matches the Rfam family "Eukaryotic small subunit ribosomal RNA", at positions 548 to 817 of the family's 1831-position model. The record is from RNAcentral. Lineage: Eukaryota; Fungi; Glomeromycota; Glomeromycetes; Glomerales; Glomeraceae.
UUGGAGGGCAAGUCUGGUGCCAGCAGCCGCGGUAAUUCCAGCUCCAAUAGCGUAUAUUAAAGUUGUUGCAGUUAAAAAGCUCGUAGUUGAAUUUCGGGAUCAAUUUAUUGGUCGUGCUAUUGUACGUACUGGUAUUAUUGAUUCCUACCUUCUGACGAACCAUGAUGUCAUUAAUUUGGUGUCAUGGGGAAUCAGGACUGUUACUUUGAAAAAAUUAGAGUGUUUAAAGCAGGCUACGACUGUAUACUAUAGUACAUGAGUA